AUGCACGCUGGCGGCGUGCCUAAUACAUGCAAGUCGAGCGAACAGACGAGGAGCUUGCUCCUCUGACGUUAGCGGCGGACGGGUGAGUAACACGUGGAUAACCUACCUAUAAGACUGGGAUAACUUCGGGAAACCGGAGCUAAUACCGGAUAAUAUAUUGAACCGCCUGGUUCAAUAGUGAAAGACGGUUUUGCUGUCACUUAUAGAUGGAUCCGCGCCGCAUUAGCUAGUUGGUAAGGUAACGGCUUACCAAGGCAACGAUGCGUAGCCGACCUGAGAGGGUGAUCGGCCACACUGGAACUGAGACACGGUCCAGACUCCUACGGGAGGCAGCAGUAGGGAAUCUUCCGCAAUGGGCGAAAGCUUGACGGAGCAACGCCGCGUGAGUGAUGAAGGUCUUCGGAUCGUAAAACUCUGUUAUUAGGGAAGAACAAAUGUGUAAGUAACUAUGCACGUCUUGACGGUACCUAAUCAGAAAGCCACGGCUAACUACGUG
RNAcentral lists this ribosomal RNA (496 nucleotides) under uncultured bacterium. RNAcentral's name for it is "partial 16S ribosomal RNA". It matches the Rfam family "Bacterial small subunit ribosomal RNA", at positions 29 to 507 of the family's 1533-position model. The record is from RNAcentral.